AACCCUCUCAUUAAACAUUUUAUUUUUGAUUUGUUUAGUGGAUGUUGAGUGUUGCUGUACCUAUAGCUCACUUUAAAUAUAUAAGUCACUUUUCAAAUAAGUUGGAUUGACUUGGUGUAAUAAUUUUAUCAUCACAUCAAGGAAAGUAGUAAAACACUUGCCAGCUUGUUUGUUAAUAAGAGACUCCUAAAACCCAAUAUCUUAUUU
RNAcentral lists this unclassified non-coding RNA (207 nucleotides) under Puccinia graminis. RNAcentral describes it as "partial internal transcribed spacer 2". The record is from RNAcentral. Lineage: Eukaryota; Fungi; Basidiomycota; Pucciniomycetes; Pucciniales; Pucciniaceae.